Molecule: ribosomal RNA, 468 nt
Filed under: uncultured bacterium
Lineage: Bacteria
Description: partial 16S ribosomal RNA
Rfam family: Bacterial small subunit ribosomal RNA
Source: RNAcentral
GACGAACGCUGGCGGCGUGCUUAACACAUGCAAGUCGAACGGAACGGCCCUGCUUUUGUGGGGUGCUCGGGUGGCGACCGGGUGAGUAACACGUGAGUACCCUGCACUUGACUUUGGGAUAACUUCAGGCAACUGGGGCUAAUACCGGAUAGGAGCUCCUGCUGCAUGGUGGGGGUUGGACAGUUUCGGCGGUUGGGGAUGGAACCGCGGCGUAUCUGGUUGAUGGUGUGGUAGUGGGUUACCAAGGCUUUGACGGGUAGCCUGCCUGAGAGGGUAACCUGCCACAUUGGGACGGAGAUGCGGCCCGGACUCCUCCGGUAGGGGGCAGAGGAGAAGAGUGUACAAUGGGCGGAAGCCUAAUGUAGCAACGCCGCGUGGGGUAUGUCGGCCUGCUGUUUGGAUUGCGCUUUCGUCUGUGACGAAGCGUUAGUGACGGUAAUGGGUAAAGAAGCACCGGCUAACUACGUG